RNAcentral lists this ribosomal RNA (484 nucleotides) under uncultured bacterium. RNAcentral describes it as "partial 16S ribosomal RNA". It matches the Rfam family "Bacterial small subunit ribosomal RNA", at positions 30 to 507 of the family's 1533-position model. The record is from RNAcentral.
AUUGAACGCUGGCGGCAGGCCUAACACAUGCAAGUCGAGCGGAUGAAGGGAGCUUGCUCCUGGAUUCAGCGGCGGACGGGUGAGUAAUGCCUAGGAAUCUGCCUGGUCGUGGGGGAUAGCGUCCGGAAACGGGCGCUAAUACCGCAUACGUCCUGAGGGAGAAAGUGGGGGAUCUUCGGACCUCACGCUAUUAGAUGAGCCUAGGUCGGAUUAGCUAGUUGGUGGGGUAACGGCCUACCAAGGCGACGAUCCGUAACUGGUCUGAGAGGAUGAUCAGUCACACUGGAACUGAGACACGGUCCAGACUCCUACGGGAGGCAGCAGUGGGGAAUCUUGGACAAUGGGCGAAAGCCUGAUCCAGCCAUGCCGCGUGUGUGAAGAAGGUCUUCGGAUUGUAAAGCACUUUAAGUUGGGAGGAAGGGAAGUAAGUUAAUACCUUGCUGUUUUGACGGUACCAACAGAAUAAGCACCGGCUAACUUCGUG